GAUGAACGCUGGCGGCGUGCCUAGUUCAUGCAAGUCGAGCGAACGGACGAGAAGCUUGCUUCUCUGAUGUUAGCGGCGGACGGGUGAGUAACACGUGGAUAACCUACCUAUAAGACUGGGAUAACUUCGGGAAACCGGAGCUAAUACCGGAUAAUAUUUUGAACCGCAUGGUUCAAAAGUGAAAGACGGUCUUGCUGUCACUUAUAGAUGGAUCCGCGCUGCAUUAGCUAGUUGGUAAGGUAACGGCUUACCAAGGCAACGAUGCAUAGCCGACCUGAGAGGGUGAUCGGCCACACUGGAACUGAGACACGGUCCAGACUCCUACGGGAGGCAGCAGUAGGGAAUCUUCCGCAAAGGGCGAAAGCCUGACGGAGCAACGCCGCGUGAGUGAUGAAGGUCUUCGGAUCGUAAAACUCUGUUAUUAGGGAAGAACAUAUGUGUAAGUAACUGUGCACAUCUUGACGGUACCUAAUCAGAAAGCCACGGCUAACUACGUG
Molecule: ribosomal RNA, 497 nt
Filed under: uncultured bacterium
Lineage: Bacteria
Description: partial 16S ribosomal RNA
Rfam family: Bacterial small subunit ribosomal RNA
Source: RNAcentral